Pseudoliparis swirei is the source of this 826-nucleotide RNA transcript. It is a transcript of the gene named protein tyrosine phosphatase non-receptor type 18, with no coding region annotated. The transcript has 7 exons. Lineage: Eukaryota; Metazoa; Chordata; Actinopteri; Perciformes; Liparidae. The record is from RefSeq and is a predicted model, not a curated record.
GUUUGUUGAGACUCAGAGAGAAGCGGGUUUCAAAGACUAAAGGAGGACUAGAAGAGGACGAGAAGAGGACUAGAAGAGAGCUGAAGACCCCACCUCCUACCAGAGUGAGCCGCCAUGAAUGACAAUGACACGUACGCUGUGGUCAAGAAGCUCAAGUACCCGCCCUCUGACCCCGCCCCCUCUGCUGUGGCCACGCCCAGAUUCAGCAGGCCGCCUCCAUCCCAUCACUAUGACAACGACCCCCCAGCAGCUCCCGUCUACAGCGUUGUCAAACCACGAGUCAAACCUCACGGUCCGCCCCUCUCAGCCACGCCCCUUUACGACAUGCCGCCGCCAGCCAAUCACAGGCCGGGGGACAGCGGAGCGCAUCACUUGAGCCCAGCCGGAGGUCUUUCUCUGACCAACGAUGACUAUGAAGACUUCUGCUCUUCGGGGCCUGAGGCCAGCGGCUCACCUGGUGGCAUCGGAUAGGGGGGCAGAAGACGAUGCGAAGUCACCAAGCCUAACAGAGAAAGAUCGCUGGGACAGGGUUUAAUUGUCGUAUUCAGAAGCCCAGAGGACCCAGAGACCCCCCAGCUGACUGGGGCCACCUGGACAGAUGAACUGGUCCCACUGGUCUGACUGGUUGUUAAUAUGAGAUGAAGUGGUCUGACUGGACCUCACUGGUUAACAACCGGGUUGAACUGAACCUGUUAUUCUGACCAUAACUGAUCAUAUUUAUGGUUAUUAAAUUGAGUAUUUCUUUCGUCUGUGAUUCAUAAAUGUUUUACUUUUCGUGUGAUGAGACUUUAAAAUGUGAAGAAUAAUAAAUCAUGAUUAAAACAGA